UAAGUUUUGUCAUAGAAUUGCCACAUUAGGUAAGUAACUCAAAGACUCACGGUUUUGGCUCAGAUCAGAGACAAUGGUUGAUACUCGUCUAGGGAUCUUCUGUCCACUCUGGAACCAGUCCUCCAUGAAACGCGCUGCUGCGCCUUUGUUAUCUCCACUAAUCAAAGAGUUAGUCCUGCUCAUGGAAGUCCCAUGAGUAGCAAACCAGUUAAAGCUACCAAUAGGUCCCAACUUUGAAUCGACAAACUUGAGGAGCGUCAUUUCUUUGUCGACGUUAUACUUAUAUUUGCUCCUCUCAUCUGCAGGGUUGUUCAGAUAAGAACUAGGACUUCUGUUCACACCAGCAUCCAAAAGGUCCCCUAAUAUUUACACACACACAUAAAGUGAUUUAACUAAAGCAAGAACUUAAUUUGUCUGAAAGCACCCUUAAAGAAGCCAAUUUUUAAAAAAUCGCUAUGCGGUAGUCAGGCGGUUUAUAUGAGAUUAUUGAUUAGGCAGAACAGACUUUUUAAAUGUCUAGAUCGAUUUUUAUUUAAUGUCAAGACCGAUUUAAAAAAAAAAUUGUUUUAGAAAAAUAGUUUCGUUUAGAUUCGAUUUGUCAACUAGGCAGAUGCUUACAAGCCACUAUACCGAUUUUUAGAACACUAUAAGACAAAAGAAAGUACCUUUGUUGACAAAAACAGAACCAGGACGUAGACUUUGGUGAGCUUGCAUGAUGGCUUGCUCAAUGCCAUCAACAAGAACGUCAAAAGACUGACGAACGAAUCCAAGGGACGUGACAAUGUAAGUGACGUACUGAAGAUACCCUCCUGGUCCAGCAUGAGUGUGGAUCCCACUUAUUGCAACGUUCUUCUCUGUGUAAAGAUCACCAUAUCUACAAAAUGAAAUUAUUACAACAUUCUUGUAGAUUAGUUCAAAAUAACACUGACACUGUGCUUAUUGGUCGUUACCUUGCCUUGAGUCGCUCAAGAACUUUGAUGGUAACGAUCUGAGACGCCAUACACGCGUCAAGAUUCACAAACGCGACGCGGUUACCUUGAGGCUCAGCGACGAUGAAGGCACGAGCUCGCAGACGGAAAUGGAUCCCUGAGGCGAUUUGCUCGGAGUUAGCGUAUCCCAUCAUGUUGACGUCAGCGGCUGGACCGGUGAUGUCAUAGCUUCCCACGCCGAUUAAGUACUCGGAAGACGAAAGAACGGCUCUAGUUAAGAGAAGAGACAGUAGAAACUGAAACGACAAUGGAACUGAGACAGCCAUGUUUUGGAGAGAGGAGGAAGAAGGGAGUUGAUGAUGUGUUCUACUCCUAUGAUUGUCUUUACAACAAGUUAAAAGCCUAUGACACAAAACUUAGGUGUUGGAGUGAGGUGAAAGGUGUUAAAACAUUGUUGCCCACUAACAAAAGUUUAGUUUGGUGGCCACGCGUUGUGAAUUACGGUGGGAACUUGCUUUUCUUGUAUCAGAAAAGGAUUUGUAGAAUAGAAGAGCAUUGGUGUGCGGAGAUUGCAUUGGAAAGACGUCAAGAUGGUGAGAUUUGGGGUAAAGUCGAGUGGUCCGAUGUUGUAAUUGUCGGUGAUUUUUGCUUAAUAGAAUCUCUAGUUGCUACGUUUUGAUGCAUGUUCUCUAGAUGCUAUGUUUUGAUGCAUGAAGCUCUCCUUCAUAUUACUUAAGACUGUGCUUUUUUUUUUUUUAGUUUGGGUAUUUUAAAACUACGAAGAGGCUCAUACUAAUUCCUCAAGGGAAAGUGUAAUUCAUGGAAGCAUCAUCUCAUAUAUGCUUAGCCACACAAUUUUAGUGUUGUAGUCCAUAUACGAGUAGUCCACCCAAUGUGGUUAACUUAUUGUGAUUUGAAAUUUCUUUUCAUCACUUUUUUUAUUUUAUAAAUGAUAUAAUCAUGCACUGAUAUGUUACGUUAAGUAAAAUGUCAUACAACUACAAAGGCGCUAGAAGAACCAGAGAAGCUUGUAAUGGAUCCAACAAGCGACUUAGAAGCUCCGUAAUGUCUUAAUCUAUAAACUCCAGCCACCGCAGACUCAGGUAUCCUCCACUCCACCGUGGCUUGGCUCUCAGGGCUAAGCUUCCCCGGUCUCGACCACUUAAACUUCACACUGAAGUCAUCGUCGUCAUACACUGGUACCCACUUCUCUCCACGUAGCGUCUCCACAACAGCGAAAGAUCCUUCCGUCAUCAGGUCGUUUCUUGGACAUCCCGACCAAAACGUAGCGUUGACUUGUUGGCCUCUCACGAACGUUGACUUGGGAGGCACGUCAGCUUUAACAUCACCGAAGCUGACUCCUAUAGGAGUGGAGUCAACUACCACAGGGGAUAGUAAACUGAUCUGGUUGUCUAAAAGGUCUGGUGGUAAGGGCCCACUCGGGAGUGUUUGACCGUUGACCAAAGCUGUGGCUAGUUUCUUGAACUCUUGGAUAUAAGCGGUGAGUGUGUGUGGGCCGUAUAGCGUCGAAGCUCCCUCGUAUCUUUGAACCUCGUACUCCUCGAAAGUUGCAAUGUACUGAGAAUACGUGUUGGUGAGACCUGCGAUUACCACAUGGAGGUUGUUGCCAAACUGCUUGCUGUCUAAAGAGAUGAGAAAUGACUUCACAGCAUCACGGAGACGCCUUCCAGCCAUUGUGGUGAACUCUGUGUCAAAUUAUAAGCUUCAUUAGGGGACUAAAGAAGGUUUAUGAUGAGAACAAAAGAGAGUCUCAUUGACAUACCUCCAGGGACACUGAGGAUGAUUAGUUGACCAAUGCGAAACAUCUGAACCGGAAGAAUCGAAGGCUGCAUGGUUCAGGCAAGUAACAACCCAUCAAUAGUCUAUAGUUUCAAACAGGACGGUCUAAUAGCAUGUGCAAAUAGAACAGUUGAACAGAGUCCCGAGUCUUAAAAAUUACAAAAAAUUUGAGAUAUUUUCAAAAAUAUAUACAUAAAUUAUGAUAUAGAACUGCCCUGAUUAAUAUAUCAUUAAUAUUAUUUUGAACAAGACAAUAAUUUGAGACGGCCCUGAUUUCAAAUGCUUAUUACAUAAAACAAAGAAUAUAGCCACUCACCGCCCAGUCAUAUGGUGUCUUCAUCUCACCAGUGUCAAGUAAAAUAGGUUUUGGUUUCUGACAUUGGAUCUGGUCCGGACCAGGAGUUGUUAACACGUUCCUCACUAAUCUCCAAAACGCAUUACCCUUUAAAGAAAAGAGAUUUUUUAGUUAGAGAAAGAAAGAUUCAGAGUUAAGAAGCUUAUUAGUUACCUUAUCAUCUCCUUGUUUGAAAUCAAAAGCACCAGGACCAUCAGUUGUUCCAGCAGCAAAACCAAACCCCAUUGCAGCUGGACAUGUCUUCACCGUCUCUGAACCACCACCUGCUUUAGGAACCGUGACUUCAAGGUUUGAGAAAUCUACAUACUCAUGUUGGUAACCAAUCUUCCCCUCUAACUUCUCAGUAGCUUUGUUGAAUAGUCCCACCGCCAUUUUGAACUGCCUUUCUCCAAUGAUACGUGUACUCUCAAACUCAUCAGGGUACCCGGGACCACGGCCAUAGCACAGCUCGUUCUUUCCGUUGCAUGUACUGUGAUUGAAGUCACAAGGCAGUCCAGUGUCUAUGCAAAACGUACCAAGAACAUUUGGACUGACGUCACCACAGUUUGAUUGACAGAAGGCAGAGACGAAUGACGCCUUUCUUACUCGGACUUUAGCAUCAAGACACUGUCCUCUAGAUGACUUAUAAGAAGCUGCAAUAUCCAAAAGCCUGCUGUCUGAAAAGUACACAAAAAACAUAACUUACAUCAUGAUAAGUUUUGUCAUAGAAUUGCCACAUUAGGUAAGUAACUCAAAGACUCACGGUUUUGGCUCAGAUCAGAGACAAUGGUUGAUACUCGUCUAGGGAUCUUCUGUCCACUCUGGAACCAGUCCUCCAUGAAACGCGCUGCUGCGCCUUUGUUAUCUCCACUAAUCAAAGAGUUAGUCCUGCUCAUGGAAGUCCCAUGAGUAGCAAACCAGUUAAAGCUACCAAUAGGUCCCAACUUUGAAUCGACAAACUUGAGGAGCGUCAUUUCUUUGUCGACGUUAUACUUAUAUUUGCUCCUCUCAUCUGCAGGGUUGUUCAGAUAAGAACUAGGACUUCUGUUCACACCAGCAUCCAAAAGGUCCCCUAAUAUUUACACACACACAUAAAGUGAUUUAACUAAAGCAAGAACUUAAUUUGUCUGAAAGCACCCUUAAAGAAGCCAAUUUUUAAAAAAUCGCUAUGCGGUAGUCAGGCGGUUUAUAUGAGAUUAUUGAUUAGGCAGAACAGACUUUUUAAAUGUCUAGAUCGAUUUUUAUUUAAUGUCAAGACCGAUUUAAAAAAAAAAUUGUUUUAGAAAAAUAGUUUCGUUUAGAUUCGAUUUGUCAACUAGGCAGAUGCUUACAAGCCACUAUACCGAUUUUUAGAACACUAUAAGACAAAAGAAAGUACCUUUGUUGACAAAAACAGAACCAGGACGUAGACUUUGGUGAGCUUGCAUGAUGGCUUGCUCAAUGCCAUCAACAAGAACGUCAAAAGACUGACGAACGAAUCCAAGGGACGUGACAAUGUAAGUGACGUACUGAAGAUACCCUCCUGGUCCAGCAUGAGUGUGGAUCCCACUUAUUGCAACGUUCUUCUCUGUGUAAAGAUCACCAUAUCUACAAAAUGAAAUUAUUACAACAUUCUUGUAGAUUAGUUCAAAAUAACACUGACACUGUGCUUAUUGGUCGUUACCUUGCCUUGAGUCGCUCAAGAACUUUGAUGGUAACGAUCUGAGACGCCAUACACGCGUCAAGAUUCACAAACGCGACGCGGUUACCUUGAGGCUCAGCGACGAUGAAGGCACGAGCUCGCAGACGGAAAUGGAUCCCUGAGGCGAUUUGCUCGGAGUUAGCGUAUCCCAUCAUGUUGACGUCAGCGGCUGGACCGGUGAUGUCAUAGCUUCCCACGCCGAUUAAGUACUCGGAAGACGAAAGAACGGCUCUAGUUAAGAGAAGAGACAGUAGAAACUGAAACGACAAUGGAACUGAGACAGCCAUGUUUUGGAGAGAGGAGGAAGAAGGGAGAGUAGUGAUAGAUCUUUAAGAGGAGAAAGAUUUCACACGAGAAGUGAUUGUGAGAGAGAAUACGCCAUGAAAGAUUGAAACUUUGCAAAAGCGUGAGUGGGAGAGAGAGAGAAAAGGUGAAUAAAAUUUUCAAAUGUGGAAGCGAGUGGAUGUCGGUAGUGAAACUUCACACUCUGUCAAACCUUAUUUGUUUCUAUUUAUACUAAUCUUGUAUAUUAUGGUUUCAUAUUAGUUUAAAUAGAUCGUGUUUAUUACUGACUAAUUAUCUAUGGUUUGAUGAUGAUGAUAUUAGUUUUUUUACGCGUUUAACGCAUACAUCCUCGAAAUGAGGUUCUUGACAAUAGAUUAAUUUUAUUUUAAUGUUAUUUGAAAAUCAAGCCAAGCCACUUAAAAUCUGGCACAACAUGGUUAGCGAGAUUUCCUCGGAGAACCCGUUUCUUGUUUCUGUCCACUUUUUCAAUUAUUCUCCUAAAUCUAUUAAAAUCUCCACCAAUGACCUUGCUCUAAAAUGCAUCCAAAAUACUACAUAACUAUCACAUUAAAUUUUGUACUAUGGAAAAAGGAGAUGAACAUAGUUACUGCAGAGGUUACAAAUACUAGUAUUGGUUUUUAUAAAUUGUUUGAAUUGAAUAAUAACAUGUUUUAGUUGUUGAUACGCACCCAUCACCCAUGUGAUUCCUCUUGGAGCUGCAUACAUCCAUGUGAACGUGUUAAAACUCUUUGCUUGUCUUGGUAAUAAACUCUUAAAGACGUUCAGUCAUUGACCAUACAUAAGUGGCAAGUGCAAUAAUCAUUCUCUGAUACACGUACUUGCAAAAUCAGAGGUGGGUGAAAUCCUCAACCGUUUCACACGGAAACAAACUUAAUGACCCGAUCUUAUCCGGAUCCGACCAGACUCAACCCGACAAGUAAAUCUCUUCCGUCCCUGUUUCGUGUAAUGAUCACGAGAAAGAAAGUAACAAAAAAAUAAUAGGAUCGGAAUUGACUUUGGCGUUUCCUUACUCUCUAAGAAAAAAAAAAUCUCUUCUUUCUUCUCUUCUAUCGGUUUCUGAUAAGCACAAAGAGAGAGACUCGUGAUCAAUGGAGAAGCCUCUGCUUUCAGGUAAUUCAAUUCAAUAAAGAACCAAACUUUCUCCUCCUCUGUUUUUUAAAUUAUCUCAUCAUUUAUUAUUGGAUCAGAUAAUAAAACUAAGGAACCAGAGAGAUGGGAUUCGUACCAAUACCUUCAGAGAAACAUCUCCUCUGCUCGUAACAACGUCUCUUUCACCGGAGCUGGCGUCACCGUCGAGGAAGUCCGUUCCGCUUCCGCUGUUUCCGAUCCUCCGCCUCUCUACCCUCCCGUUCUAACCACCCCCGUCUCGUUGCCCACUCGUAAGUCUCUCCGACUUUGACCCUUAAAAGUCUGAAAGUUUCAUCCUUUUUGUCGGCUCUGUUUCACAGCGGAAGCUAUUGGCUACCCGAGUGCGUCUGGAGCAGGUCAUGAACUGCAAAGGUACAAAGGUUCCUACUUUUAGUCUCAUUGCUCUUGUUAGGAUUCAAAGAUUGAAGCUUUUACAUUUAUCUCAGGCAGGUGCUUGAUGAGAUUGAGAUAAGAGAGCUGCUGAUUGAUCACAUCGGCCACCGUUGCUGUUGGGGAAGCCGUCCAGCUCGCACGUGGAGGAUCCGUGCGGUCGAAGACUGCAAUGUCUAUGUCGGAACUCUCGACACUUUUAUCGAAGAGAGGGAAGCUUUAACACAGACAGUGCCUUUCAACGGUGGGAACUUCGAACAUGGAUCUGCUCCUGAGUUAUGGCAAAUAGACCUGAGGUCGCAGUUUCCAACUCUCUUUGUUCCUUACAAAGAGACUCGAGUCCCGGUUCCUCAUUCUGAGACUGUUGACAAGUGCACUGGUAAGACUCUUUCUUAUGUCUUUAGUGAUUGUUAGGAUGAUGCUGAAGAGGGCAUUUUUGAUUAAUAGGUUGCGGAUCAAAAGACUGACGAACGAAUCCAAGGGACGUGACAAUGUAAGUGACGUACUGAAGAUACCCUCCUGGUCCAGCAUGAGUGUGGAUCCCACUUAUUGCAACGUUCUUCUCUGUGUAAAGAUCACCAUAUCUACAAAAUGAAAUUAUUACAACAUUCUUGUAGAUUAGUUCAAAAUAACACUGACACUGUGCUUAUUGGUCGUUACCUUGCCUUGAGUCGCUCAAGAACUUUGAUGGUAACGAUCUGAGACGCCAUACACGCGUCAAGAUUCACAAACGCGACGCGGUUACCUUGAGGCUCAGCGACGAUGAAGGCACGAGCUCGCAGACGGAAAUGGAUCCCUGAGGCGAUUUGCUCGGAGUUAGCGUAUCCCAUCAUGUUGACGUCAGCGGCUGGACCGGUGAUGUCAUAGCUUCCCACGCCGAUUAAGUACUCGGAAGACGAAAGAACGGCUCUAGUUAAGAGAAGAGACAGUAGAAACUGAAACGACAAUGGAACUGAGACAGCCAUGUUUUGGAGAGAGGAGGAAGAAGGGAGAGUAGUGAUAGAUCUUUAAGAGGAGAAAGAUUUCACACGAGAAGUGAUUGUGAGAGAGAAUACGCCAUGAAAGAUUGAAACUUUGCAAAAGCGUGAGUGGGAGAGAGAGAGAAAAGGUGAAUAAAAUUUUCAAAUGUGGAAGCGAGUGGAUGUCGGUAGUGAAACUUCACACUCUGUCAAACCUUAUUUGUUUCUAUUUAUACUAAUCUUGUAUAUUAUGGUUUCAUAUUAGUUUAAAUAGAUCGUGUUUAUUACUGACUAAUUAUCUAUGGUUUGAUGAUGAUGAUAUUAGUUUUUUUACGCGUUUAACGCAUACAUCCUCGAAAUGAGGUUCUUGACAAUAGAUUAAUUUUAUUUUAAUGUUAUUUGAAAAUCAAGCCAAGCCACUUAAAAUCUGGCACAACAUGGUUAGCGAGAUUUCCUCGGAGAACCCGUUUCUUGUUUCUGUCCACUUUUUCAAUUAUUCUCCUAAAUCUAUUAAAAUCUCCACCAAUGACCUUGCUCUAAAAUGCAUCCAAAAUACUACAUAACUAUCACAUUAAAUUUUGUACUAUGGAAAAAGGAGAUGAACAUAGUUACUGCAGAGGUUACAAAUACUAGUAUUGGUUUUUAUAAAUUGUUUGAAUUGAAUAAUAACAUGUUUUAGUUGUUGAUACGCACCCAUCACCCAUGUGAUUCCUCUUGGAGCUGCAUACAUCCAUGUGAACGUGUUAAAACUCUUUGCUUGUCUUGGUAAUAAACUCUUAAAGACGUUCAGUCAUUGACCAUACAUAAGUGGCAAGUGCAAUAAUCAUUCUCUGAUACACGUACUUGCAAAAUCAGAGGUGGGUGAAAUCCUCAACCGUUUCACACGGAAACAAACUUAAUGACCCGAUCUUAUCCGGAUCCGACCAGACUCAACCCGACAAGUAAAUCUCUUCCGUCCCUGUUUCGUGUAAUGAUCACGAGAAAGAAAGUAACAAAAAAAUAAUAGGAUCGGAAUUGACUUUGGCGUUUCCUUACUCUCUAAGAAAAAAAAAAUCUCUUCUUUCUUCUCUUCUAUCGGUUUCUGAUAAGCACAAAGAGAGAGACUCGUGAUCAAUGGAGAAGCCUCUGCUUUCAGGUAAUUCAAUUCAAUAAAGAACCAAACUUUCUCCUCCUCUGUUUUUUAAAUUAUCUCAUCAUUUAUUAUUGGAUCAGAUAAUAAAACUAAGGAACCAGAGAGAUGGGAUUCGUACCAAUACCUUCAGAGAAACAUCUCCUCUGCUCGUAACAACGUCUCUUUCACCGGAGCUGGCGUCACCGUCGAGGAAGUCCGUUCCGCUUCCGCUGUUUCCGAUCCUCCGCCUCUCUACCCUCCCGUUCUAACCACCCCCGUCUCGUUGCCCACUCGUAAGUCUCUCCGACUUUGACCCUUAAAAGUCUGAAAGUUUCAUCCUUUUUGUCGGCUCUGUUUCACAGCGGAAGCUAUUGGCUACCCGAGUGCGUCUGGAGCAGGUCAUGAACUGCAAAGGUACAAAGGUUCCUACUUUUAGUCUCAUUGCUCUUGUUAGGAUUCAAAGAUUGAAGCUUUUACAUUUAUCUCAGGCAGGUGCUUGAUGAGAUUGAGAUAAGAGAGCUGCUGAUUGAUCACAUCGGCCACCGUUGCUGUUGGGGAAGCCGUCCAGCUCGCACGUGGAGGAUCCGUGCGGUCGAAGACUGCAAUGUCUAUGUCGGAACUCUCGACACUUUUAUCGAAGAGAGGGAAGCUUUAACACAGACAGUGCCUUUCAACGGUGGGAACUUCGAACAUGGAUCUGCUCCUGAGUUAUGGCAAAUAGACCUGAGGUCGCAGUUUCCAACUCUCUUUGUUCCUUACAAAGAGACUCGAGUCCCGGUUCCUCAUUCUGAGACUGUUGACAAGUGCACUGGUAAGACUCUUUCUUAUGUCUUUAGUGAUUGUUAGGAUGAUGCUGAAGAGGGCAUUUUUGAUUAAUAGGUUGCGGAGGAAGAGGAGAAGUAGUGUGUCCAACGUGCAAUGCUGAUGGAGAGCCUGGGUUUUACAAGGAGAAUCAGGUGAUGAAGUGUUCUAAGUGUUAUGGAAGAGGUUUGAUUGCUCAUAAAGAUGGAUCUGACUCAAUGUAAAGUCUCAUUUCAAGAACUCGAAACUUUCAGUCUGUCUGAUGAGUGCAUAUGCAAACUGUAAACCUUCUUUUUUUUUUCUCACAGAUGUGGAGAAUGUAAUGGUGGGGGAAAGCUUCCUUGUCCGAAUUGCCAAUCUCGUGGGUUAGUCAAAUGCGAGACUUGUGACGGUUCUGGCUCUCUUCUGACAAGCAGCAUUGCAGUUGUAAAAUGGUAAGGUCUUUUAUCAGUAAAUGAAAUUUGGUCUGAGUGGCAAACUAAAAGAUAAACAUAGGCAUUUCGGGUAUUGGUUCGGGUUUUAGUUGGGUAGUUUGGGUCUAAUACCCGGAAAAAAUUGGUUUCCGUUUGUUCGGUUCGGUUAUUUCGGGUAAUUUGGUAAAAUAUUGGGUACGUCGGAUAAAAUAUUGAGUAAUUAGGAUGAUUCGGAUAGAAUAAUUUGGAUUAUUUUAGAUAUUUAGGAUUAAAGUAUUCAAAUACUUUUGGAUACUGAUAAUAGCUUUUUAAUAUAUAUUUAGGUAUGUUAAAAAUAUCUUUAGAUAUUGGUUCGGUUUUCGGUGCAGUUAUUUUAGAUAUAGAAAUAUAGGAACUGUUCGGUUAUUCCACGGUUUUAGUAUUUCUUUUCCAGUUCUGGUUAUUUUUUGCCCAAGCCUACUAAAAGACUUGAUUUUUAUUUUUGCGUUUCGACAGGAAGACACUGUCAAAGCGAAAGGUGAGUGCAACGAGAGGAGCUGGCUCUGUACCAGAAGAAGUGUUUCACAGAGCAGAAGGUGUUCAGCUUUGCAACACACAAGCUUACCAGUGCACACCAGCUUACUUUGCAGACUCAUACUUCCUAAACAAGUUCUCCUCAGAAGUCAUCUCGUUGAGAGCUGAAGUUCCACCAACGGCGAAUGUUGUCUGCGAGAGGCACGCCAUAUCUGUUGUGCCUGUGACACGCGUCACGAUGGAAGAUCGUGGGAAAGCCUUCAACUUUUACAUUAUCGGUUUUGGUAAAGAGAUUUACAUGAAAGAUUAUUACCCAGCUAGGUUCUGCUGGGGGUUGUGUCCUUGUCUUGAGUGGUUAAAAGUUUGAAAACACACAGAGUUGGUCUUUUGAACUUCUCUACUUUGAAUGUAAGAAACACGGAAUAAGGAAAGAGAUUGCAUGUACACAAAACAUAGCAUCAUUAGCAUGCAAUGCAAUGUGUGGUUUAUACAUAUAUAUGAUAGUUUGAAAAUGUGUACAUGAUGAUAGUCUUAACUAAUCCUAAGAAGUGAAAAAGUGAAGAACAAGAGGACAUCAACGGGACUUGUCCGUAUUAAUUCUCCUCUCACUGGAACCUUUUUGUAACAAGAGUAGGCUUCUGGUUUGGUUCUCGGUUCAAUUCAGCAAUUAAAGAAAAAUAAUCUUCGGUUCAGUAAACCGUUAGUCCACAUUUUCUUUUAAAAUAUUUUUCUUUACCAAACUAAUAUAAAAAUUCAAAUCAAACUAACUAAACUUAACCUAAUUUAAAAAAAUAUUUAACUAGUGGUGGGUCUCCAAGAUCCUUUCGACGACCUUUUAAACCGGAAUUUAAUCAAUUCAAAAAUUUUGGUUAAAUUCAGUAUAAAUUUUGAAACUAAACUAACCGGAAAUCAAACCAAUUUUUCCGGUUCAAUUUACAGGCAAACCAAACUAAAUGAAUUCCAAACUAACCAACUCGAAAAGACCAAACUAACAGAAUCCAAAUGCCUACAAGAUAGAUUGCUUUCUACAAACUUAUAGUUCUAAAUUGUGUUCUGGUAUACGAAAUAAAAUCUUGUAACAUCUUGUUAUGAGAUAGGGAGAGCAGUAAAUAAAACAAGGUGGGAGUCUCUUCACUUGGCUUUGUUGGCAUAAGGCUUCUUCUUGGUAAUAUCUUUCUUAGCUUUCAACUUAUCUGAUCAUUUAGGAUUAAAGUAUUCAAAUACUUUUGGAUACUGAUAAUAGCUUUUUAAUAUAUAUUUAGGUAUGUUAAAAAUAUCUUUAGAUAUUGGUUCGGUUUUCGGUGCAGUUAUUUUAGAUAUAGAAAUAUAGGAACUGUUCGGUUAUUCCACGGUUUUAGUAUUUCUUUUCCAGUUCUGGUUAUUUUUUGCCCAAGCCUACUAAAAGACUUGAUUUUUAUUUUUGCGUUUCGACAGGAAGACACUGUCAAAGCGAAAGGUGAGUGCAACGAGAGGAGCUGGCUCUGUACCAGAAGAAGUGUUUCACAGAGCAGAAGGUGUUCAGCUUUGCAACACACAAGCUUACCAGUGCACACCAGCUUACUUUGCAGACUCAUACUUCCUAAACAAGUUCUCCUCAGAAGUCAUCUCGUUGAGAGCUGAAGUUCCACCAACGGCGAAUGUUGUCUGCGAGAGGCACGCCAUAUCUGUUGUGCCUGUGACACGCGUCACGAUGGAAGAUCGUGGGAAAGCCUUCAACUUUUACAUUAUCGGUUUUGGUAAAGAGAUUUACAUGAAAGAUUAUUACCCAGCUAGGUUCUGCUGGGGGUUGUGUCCUUGUCUUGAGUGGUUAAAAGUUUGAAAACACACAGAGUUGGUCUUUUGAACUUCUCUACUUUGAAUGUAAGAAACACGGAAUAAGGAAAGAGAUUGCAUGUACACAAAACAUAGCAUCAUUAGCAUGCAAUGCAAUGUGUGGUUUAUACAUAUAUAUGAUAGUUUGAAAAUGUGUACAUGAUGAUAGUCUUAACUAAUCCUAAGAAGUGAAAAAGUGAAGAACAAGAGGACAUCAACGGGACUUGUCCGUAUUAAUUCUCCUCUCACUGGAACCUUUUUGUAACAAGAGUAGGCUUCUGGUUUGGUUCUCGGUUCAAUUCAGCAAUUAAAGAAAAAUAAUCUUCGGUUCAGUAAACCGUUAGUCCACAUUUUCUUUUAAAAUAUUUUUCUUUACCAAACUAAUAUAAAAAUUCAAAUCAAACUAACUAAACUUAACCUAAUUUAAAAAAAUAUUUAACUAGUGGUGGGUCUCCAAGAUCCUUUCGACGACCUUUUAAACCGGAAUUUAAUCAAUUCAAAAAUUUUGGUUAAAUUCAGUAUAAAUUUUGAAACUAAACUAACCGGAAAUCAAACCAAUUUUUCCGGUUCAAUUUACAGGCAAACCAAACUAAAUGAAUUCCAAACUAACCAACUCGAAAAGACCAAACUAACAGAAUCCAAAUGCCUACAAGAUAGAUUGCUUUCUACAAACUUAUAGUUCUAAAUUGUGUUCUGGUAUACGAAAUAAAAUCUUGUAACAUCUUGUUAUGAGAUAGGGAGAGCAGUAAAUAAAACAAGGUGGGAGUCUCUUCACUUGGCUUUGUUGGCAUAAGGCUUCUUCUUGGUAAUAUCUUUCUUAGCUUUCAACUUAUCUGAUCUCCCUGACUUCUUCUUCUCCUUCUUGUCGUUGUACAUGUUUAUCGCCUAACUCACAUAUACAAAUAAUAUCAGAGGCAAGAGACCAAAACCAGAGAGAGAGAGAGAUGAGAAGUUUUUUCGAUUAUACCUUUCCAACAUUGAGGAUCUCAUGUGAAUGCUUAGAUAAUAACUUGCCAAGUACUUUAUUAGUCUGUUCUUUUUCUUCGUCAACCAUUCCGUACCUUGGUACAACCGGUAAAUACUGCAAAAAAAUCCCCACAAAUUAGAAAAUACAAAUUGACUAAAAGGGAAGGUGAAGAUGACUGAUGAGUGAUGACUAACCUUGUGGUGUUUGCCUUGCUUCUUAGGAGGUUUUUCACCAGGCAAUUUUUUUUAUCGAAUUUACCACCACUAGCGGUUGAUGUAGCAGCUAAACCUGCUACAUCACCAAGUGCAUCCUUUCCAAUUUUCUGUGGCUGAGUUUUGGUGCCUGAUAUGGGCGAUGCAGUUACAGCAAGUUGGACAUGGCUGCAAGUAAAACCAUUUUUGAUAUCUAGUUAUCAAAACCAUGUAACAUGUUGUAUGAUGCUUACUAACCAAUAAAAGAAGUUGUUAAUAUUACCUCGGUAAAGCACCAGCUUUUGCAGCAGUCUUCAAGUUCUGUAAUCGAUUCUUUUCUUGCUUUCCAACUCUCUUCUUUUUAUCAUCUAGUCUCUUGGCAAAAGGGUCUUCUCCUGGUUCUGCAGUUAAGCGAACUUGGUUUCAUCAAGAAACUAACAACAUAAUCUAAAGCAAAAGAUAAGAAAUUGUUCUUUUUUUAGCGCAGGACUUACCAUCUAAUGCCUUUGCUUCAGCUGCUGCGCCUUUGUUAUCUCCACUAAUCAAAGAGUUAGUCCUGCUCAUGGAAGUCCCAUGAGUAGCAAACCAGUUAAAGCUACCAAUAGGUCCCAACUUUGAAUCGACAAACUUGAGGAGCGUCAUUUCUUUGUCGACGUUAUACUUAUAUUUGCUCCUCUCAUCUGCAGGGUUGUUCAGAUAAGAACUAGGACUUCUGUUCACACCAGCAUC
Molecule: long non-coding RNA, 14064 nt
Filed under: Brassica napus (rape)
Lineage: Eukaryota; Viridiplantae; Streptophyta; Magnoliopsida; Brassicales; Brassicaceae
Description: long non-coding RNA (BNAP_LNC002110)
Source: RNAcentral